RNAcentral lists this ribosomal RNA (253 nucleotides) under uncultured bacterium. Its description in RNAcentral is "partial 16S ribosomal RNA". It matches the Rfam family "Bacterial small subunit ribosomal RNA", at positions 524 to 776 of the family's 1533-position model. The record is from RNAcentral.
UACGUAGGGUGCAAGCGUUAAUCGGAAUUACUGGGCGUAAAGCGUGCGCAGGCGGUUAUGUGAGACAGAUGUGGAAUGCCCGGGCUUAACCUGGGAACUGCAUUUGUGACUGCAUGGCUAGAGUUUGGCAGAGGGGGGUAGAAUUCCACGUGUAGCAGUGAAAUGCGUAGAUAUGUGGAGGAACACCGAUGGCGAAGGCAGCCCCCUGGGUCAAGACUGACGCUCAUGCACGAAAGCGUGGGGAGCAAACAGG